CUUGUAUUAUCCUCUUCUUUCAGAAUUCUCUUCUGCUGGAACACAUGGAGGCCUUACAAGGAGCAGUGCAAGUGCAGCAGUGACGUGACCUGAGCUGCCUUUGAUCCCUUCCUGUCCCAAGUGAUCACCUGAACAGAUGGAGCCCUAAGUCAUGGACUAAAUGAACCCUGCUGUCAUUGUGUAGACACUGAUGUGCAAACAAGAGGACAGAAGUGCUGAAGGCAGGGCAGGAUGUAAUUUUCUGUUGUAACUUCGGAGAUGUCAAAAGGCAGAUGCAUUUUCAGACAGCAGAGUUGACUAUUUUUAUUUUCAACAGAUAAAUGAUUCAUCCCAUGUAUUGCACCUUUGGAAAGCUCUCUUACUCGUGUGUGCCAAGAUAAAUUAUGAAGGCUAAUGAAUACAGAAGUACUUCUGAGUAGAGAAAACUUCCACUAUAUGUGUUCAGGAAAUGUGUGUUUG
Molecule: long non-coding RNA, 459 nt
Filed under: Junco hyemalis (dark-eyed junco)
Lineage: Eukaryota; Metazoa; Chordata; Aves; Passeriformes; Passerellidae
Description: lncRNA (ENSJHYG00000008845.1)
Source: RNAcentral